UGGGGAAUAUUGCACAAUGGGCGAAAGCCUGAUGCAGCAACGCCGCGUGAGUGAUGAAGGUCUUCGGAUUGUAAAGCUCUGUCUUUUGGGACGAUAAUGACGGUACCAAAGGAGGAAGCCACGGCUAACUACGUGCCAGCAGCCGCGGUAAUACGUAGGUGGCGAGCGUUGUCCGGAUUUACUGGGCGUAAGGGUGCGUAGGCGGAUGUUUAAGUGAGAUGUGAAAUACCCGGGCUUAACUUGGGUGCUGCAUUUCA
This 257-nucleotide ribosomal RNA is filed under the name uncultured bacterium. Its description in RNAcentral is "partial 16S ribosomal RNA". It matches the Rfam family "Bacterial small subunit ribosomal RNA", at positions 355 to 630 of the family's 1533-position model. The record is from RNAcentral.